RNAcentral lists this ribosomal RNA (216 nucleotides) under Glomeromycotina sp. Its description in RNAcentral is "partial small subunit ribosomal RNA". The stretch from base 75 to 216 matches the Rfam family "Eukaryotic small subunit ribosomal RNA", at positions 721 to 864 of the family's 1831-position model. The record is from RNAcentral. Lineage: Eukaryota; Fungi; Glomeromycota.
GGGUCAGUAGGCUGGUCGUGCCACCGGUACGUACUGGUCUCACUGAUUCCUCCUCCCUGAAGAACCGUAAUGCCAUUAAUUUGGUGUUGCGGGGAAACAGGACUGUUACUCUGAAAAAAUUAGAGUGUUUAAAGCAAGCUAGCGCUUGAAUACAUUAGCAUGGAAUAAUGAAAUAGGACGAUCGAUCCUAUUUUGUUGGUUUCUAGGAUUGACGUA